This 1496-nucleotide long non-coding RNA is filed under the name Athene cunicularia (burrowing owl). RNAcentral's name for it is "lncRNA (ENSACUG00000007212.1)". The record is from RNAcentral. Lineage: Eukaryota; Metazoa; Chordata; Aves; Strigiformes; Strigidae.
GCUGAACCCGUGUCAGGGUCUGAGCAGCCCUGCCUGGGGGGGAACUACUGCCACUGUGUUUUCAGGUGUCUGCGGAGCUCUGGGACAGCACAGGAGGACGGGGCACUGCCAGCUGCUGCAAGAGAGCUGCCACGGCAGCCAGCUGUGCUCUCUCUGAGCUGGAGCCUGCCGCGGCGUCAGCAGGGCAAGCAGUGAGAAACAGGCUGCCUGUACCAGCCUGAAGAUCAGAGGCCUCCCAUUAAAUAUAGAUGGCACUUCAUAGCUCUUGUGUAUAGACUAGGCAUAAAACAAUGCACGGAUGAGGACAACCUGACUGCAUCUUAUACUGCAAGGAAUAAGAAAGGAAUGGAGGGGAAGAUAUUCUAGAGGAAGGAGGACCCAGGAGUCUGCAUUGUCUUUCCACCUCUGGAGUUGUCCCUCUGCGACCCUUUGCGUGGGAGCAGCUGCGCGUUGCUGGUGAGUGUGCUGCUUCUAAGUCUUCCCAGACAAAGCUGCAUGGGAAUUCCAUGAAGUUAUUGUAUUAUGCAUCUGAAACAAUGAGACCAGACAUCGUGUUAAAAAAGAAGGAAAAAUAACGAAUGCCUGAAUGCUGCCUGGGCCUUCACCCAGUCCUCACACUCUUGCUGGCUGCUGUUAUCGUGAAUGGCACUAAUCAAUUCCAGGAAAUCUCUACACCAAGCAUUAUGUCACAUGCGAUUACAUCAUUCCCUCUAACAUUUAGGGCUUCCUGUUGACAUCUUUGGAGCUCUUCUACUACCAACUGGUAUUAGAACAAAUGCCAAAUGGUAUUUUUAGUAAUUUCUGCCUGCCAAAAGGAAUCCAAAUGUUUUCAUUUUGCAGCUUUCACCUGCUGGAUCUCAUCUUUACUCCUUAAAACAAGCAAAUCUUUGUGGGUCUGCUCGGGGUCUCCCCAGGUGUUUCCAUAAAGGAUGGUGGGACUGUGAGGGGUUUAAGACAGAAAGGGCUAAUGCCUCUGCAAAAUUUAUUUAUUCUUAAUAUCUACCAGAUUGCUAAUCCAGCCUGUCAGUUGUGUAACUUCUGUUAUAACUUCCAGCCCAGGACCCCAUUUCUCUGUUUCUUUCUGAGUUCUUUCCUAGGUGAUGCUGCUUCCCAGAGUGGGCUAUGUUUCACUUCGUGCUUGAUUUCCAAGCGUCAUCUCAUAAGGCAUUCCCCUCUCCCCUUGCAGGGCCAUCCUUACAGGGAAUUCUGCUGUUGACUUAUUUGCUACAAUCAAGACAGAAGGGGGCAUGAGGGAAAAGUCUACACGCAGGUUUUUGCUAUUGGACAUACUUCAUCCCUGAUACAGCAUCUGCACUAUGAAAUUCACCCUGAAUGAACGGGCAUUCAGGUGUCUUUACCUCCAGGAGACAGGACGCAACUCUCAGGCUGAAUUAGCCCCAGUUGGAUACGUUUUUUAAACUCUCCAGUGGUAACAGACCUGAAGACUUUUCCCCCACACUGGCCUGGACUGAACACUUGGCAGGUGAGUAAAAUUU